GCCCGAAUGGUGGAAUUGGUAGACACAGCGGACUUAAAAUCCGCCGCUUUCCUGAAUAAGGGGCGUGCCGGUUCGACCCCGGCUUCGGGCACCA
RNAcentral lists this transfer RNA (94 nucleotides) under Burkholderiales bacterium. Its description in RNAcentral is "tRNA-Leu". It matches the Rfam family "tRNA". Rfam says of the family: Transfer RNA (tRNA) molecules are approximately 80 nucleotides in length. Their secondary structure includes four short double-helical elements and three loops (D, anti-codon, and T loops). Lineage: Bacteria; Pseudomonadati; Pseudomonadota; Betaproteobacteria; Burkholderiales. The record is from RNAcentral. RNAcentral also lists the same sequence under 1 other name.